GCCCCCGUAGCUCAGCCGGAUAGAGCGAGCGUUUCCUAAACGCUAGGCCGCGUGUUCGAAUCACGCCGGGGGCA
This 74-nucleotide transfer RNA is filed under the name Elusimicrobia bacterium HGW-Elusimicrobia-3. Its description in RNAcentral is "tRNA-Arg". It matches the Rfam family "tRNA". From Rfam's summary of the family: Transfer RNA (tRNA) molecules are approximately 80 nucleotides in length. Lineage: Bacteria; Pseudomonadati; Elusimicrobiota. RNAcentral also lists the same sequence under 1 other name. The record is from RNAcentral.